RNAcentral lists this ribosomal RNA (253 nucleotides) under uncultured bacterium. RNAcentral's name for it is "partial 16S ribosomal RNA". It matches the Rfam family "Bacterial small subunit ribosomal RNA", at positions 524 to 776 of the family's 1533-position model. The record is from RNAcentral.
UACGUAGGUGGCGAGCGUUGUCCGGAUUUACUGGGCGUAAAGCGUGCGUAGACGGUUAUGUAAGUCGGGUGUGAAAGCCCCGGGCUCAACCUGGGAAUUGCAUUCGAGACUGCAUAGCUAGGAUGCGGAAGAGGGAAGCGGAAUUUCCGGUGUAGCGGUGAAAUGCGUAGAUAUCGGAAGGAACACCAGUGGCGAAAGCGGCUUCCUGGUCCAGCAUCGACGUUCAGGCACGAAAGCGUGGGGAGCAAACAGG